CUUGUAUAUAAAUAAAACUAAAACCAAAUCUUUUAAGGAAAAAUAAGCUACCCAAAAAAAAUGCUUGGUGGGUCCUUCAUGUCUCUAACAGGGAAAGGCACUGAUCUGAAAGGGUUUUUCUUUUUUCUUUUAAUUUUAUUUCAUGCACAUUUUUGUUGUGUCUGUGUGAGGGUCUUAGAUCCUCUUGCCCUGGAGUUAUGCACUUUUAUUUUGUGCGUUUGAGGGUGUUAGAUCCCCUGGAACUGGAGUUAGAGACAGUUGUAGGUGCCAGGAAUUGAGGAACUCAGGACCUCUGGAAGAGCAGCCAGUGCUCUUAACCACUGAGCCAUCUCUCCAGCCCUGAUUCAUGUUUUCUAAAUAGCAGAAUUACUGACAUGGCCUUGUGCCUGAGGGGACUCUAGGAACAGUGAGAACUUGGCUGUUGACAGGACCUCAGAAACAUUUCUAUAUAAGGACUGUUGUCAAUGCCAAGUUUUCUCUGAGGUAAGAUUUUAAUGUCUUGACUCUUACUUCAUGACAGUGGGUGGUUGGUCCUUCUUACUUUGUGGAAUAUUUGAUCAAAGAGUCACCAUGUACCCAGUCUCAGGACAGCUGUUCACUCCAGGCCUCCGACUCUGAG
RNAcentral lists this long non-coding RNA (619 nucleotides) under Rattus norvegicus (Norway rat). RNAcentral's name for it is "long non-coding RNA NONRATT007132". Lineage: Eukaryota; Metazoa; Chordata; Mammalia; Rodentia; Muridae. The record is from RNAcentral.